This 992-nucleotide unclassified non-coding RNA is filed under the name Bacillus vallismortis. RNAcentral's name for it is "partial contains 16S ribosomal RNA, 16S-23S ribosomal RNA intergenic spacer, and 23S ribosomal RNA". The stretch from base 520 to 992 matches the Rfam family "Bacterial large subunit ribosomal RNA", at positions 1 to 466 of the family's 2925-position model. The record is from RNAcentral. Lineage: Bacteria; Bacillati; Bacillota; Bacilli; Caryophanales; Bacillaceae.
GGGAUGACGUCAAAUCAUCAUGCCGUUAUGACUGGCUACACACGUGCUACAAUGACAGAACAAAGGGCAGCGAAUCGCGAGAUCAGCCAAUCCUACUAAUCUGUCUCAGUUCGGAUCGCAGUCUGCAACUCGACUGCGUGAAGCUGGAAUCGCUAGUAAUCGCGGAUCAGCAUGCCGCGUGAAUACGUUCCCGGGCCUUGUACACACGCCGUCACACCACGAGAGUUUGUAACACCCGAAGUCGGUGAGGUAACCUUUUAGGAGCCAGCCGCCGAAGGUGGGACAGAUGAUUGGGGUGAAGUCGUAACAAGGUAGCCGUAUCGGAAGGUGCGGCUGGAUCACCUCCUUUCUAAGGAUAUUUUACGGAAUAUAAGACCUUGGGUCUUAUAAACAGAACGUUCCCUGUCUUGUUUAGUUUUGAAGGAUCAUUCCUUCGAAACGUGUUCUUUGAAAACUAGAUAACAGUAGACAUCACAUUCAAUUAGUAAGACAAGAUAUCACAUAGUGAUUCUUUUUAACGGUUAAGUUAGAAAGGGCGCACGGUGGAUGCCUUGGCACUAGGAGCCGAUGAAGGACGGGACGAACACCGAUAUGCUUCGGGGAGCUGUAAGCAAGCUUUGAUCCGGAGAUUUCCGAAUGGGGAAACCCACCACUCGUAAUGGAGUGGUAUCCAUAUCUGAAUUCAUAGGAUAUGAGAAGGCAGACCCGGGGAACUGAAACAUCUAAGUACCCGGAGGAAGAGAAAGCAAAUGCGAUUCCCUGAGUAGCGGCGAGCGAAACGGGAUUAGCCCAAACCAAGAGGCUUGCCUCUUGGGGUUGUAGGACACUCUGUACGGAGUUACAAAAGAACGAGGUAGAUGAAGAGGUCUGGAAAGGCCCGCCAUAGGAGGUAACAGCCCUGUAGUCAAAACUUCGUUCUCUCCUGAGUGGAUCCUGAGUACGGCGGAACACGUGAAAUUCCGUCGGAAUCCGGGAGGACCAUCUCCCAAGGC